AUGCAGAUGCUCUGCCGGUCACACCAUAGACCCUCACCCAGCAUCGCUCAAAUCGCCAUCGAAUCGUCUUCCCCAAAAAUUGACGUUCCAGAUCUCUAUAUCCACGGUGUACCUUCAGAAGCUAAAGCCACCAGAUCCAGAAGAUCAUGUGCGCCGCAUCUCUUGCCUACCAUGCACCCUCGCUUCUCAUCAGCCAUCAGAUCUCUCCACAUAUGA
This is a non-coding RNA of Vicia faba (fava bean), 216 nucleotides long. The record is from the annotation of a GenBank genome assembly. Lineage: Eukaryota; Viridiplantae; Streptophyta; Magnoliopsida; Fabales; Fabaceae.